Molecule: ribosomal RNA, 443 nt
Filed under: uncultured bacterium
Lineage: Bacteria
Description: partial 16S ribosomal RNA
Rfam family: Bacterial small subunit ribosomal RNA
Source: RNAcentral
ACGGAAGGCAGCAGUGGGGGAUAUUGGACAAUGGGGGAAACCCUGAUCCAGCGACGCCGCGUGAGUGAAGAAGUAUUUCGGUAUGUAAAGCUCUAUCAGCAGGGAAGAAAAAAUCAAAAUUGACAGUACCUGACUAAGAAGCUCCGGCUAAAUACGUGCCAGCAGCCGCGGUAAUACGUAUGGAGCAAGCGUUAUCCGGAUUUACUGGGUGUAAAGGGUGCGUAGGCGGUAUGGCAAGUCAGAUGUGAAAGACCGGGGCUCAACUCCGGGGCUGCAUUUGAAACUGCCAGACUGGAGUACAGGAGAGGCAGGCGGAAUUCCUAGUGUGGCGGUGAAAUGCGUAGAUAUUAGGAGGAACACCAGUGGCGAAGGCGGCCUGCUGGACUGUUACUGACGCUGAGGCACGAAAGCGUGGGGAGCAAACAGGAUUAGAUACCCUGGUA